CCUACGGGUGGCAGCAGUGAGGAAUCUUGGUCAAUGGACGAGAGUCUGAACCAGCCAAGUAGCGUGAAGGAUGACUGCCCUCUGGGUUGUAAACUUCUUUUAUAUGGGAAUAAAACGUUCCAAGUGUGGGAUUUUGUUUGUACCAUAUGAAUACGGAUCGGCUAACUUCGUGCCAGCAGCCGCGGUAAUACGGAGGAUCCGAGCGUUAUCCGGAUUUAUUGGGUUUAAAGGGAGCGUAGGUGGAUUGUUAAGUCAGUUGUGAAAGUUUGCGGCUCAACCGUAAAAUUGCAGUGGAAACUGGCAGACUUGAGUGCAGUAGAGGAGGGCGGAAUUCGAGGUGUAGCGGUGAAAUGCUUAGAUAUCUCGAAGAACUCC
This 375-nucleotide ribosomal RNA is filed under the name uncultured bacterium. RNAcentral describes it as "partial 16S ribosomal RNA". It matches the Rfam family "Bacterial small subunit ribosomal RNA", at positions 338 to 710 of the family's 1533-position model. The record is from RNAcentral.